AUGGCGAACCAGGGAUCCAAGAAGAUUGUGGAGAGGAACAGGAAGCGCAUGGAUCUCCUCUGGCGCAUAAUCCUCGUGUCCAACGUUAUUUACAUAGUAGUGAGGAUGGCUGUAAUGUACUCUUCUUUCACCUGGAAGCAUUGGAUUGGCCUCGUGGUGACAUCUGCUGCAUACUUUCUUUCAUACAAGCAACUCGCUAGUAUGACAAAGCCCGAAUAUUCUGACGCGGACAAUCGUGAACUUCUGAGUUCGGGUUAUGACUUGGCCACUGGUGGGCUUUCUGAAUAUAUAGAGGAUGUGAUAUACAUCACAGCAUUUGUGCAGCUUACGUCCAUUAUUUCUGGAAAAUUUUGGUGGACAUAUCUGGUGAUACCAGCUUUCGGUGGAUACAAGAUCUUUUUUCUGUUGAAAGGAACAUUCUUCGGUGGUGGUUCAGAGGGUGAAGUCGAAGAUGAGAAGUCUCGAAAGAAGAGGGAAAAAAUGGAGAAAAAGGCAUCUAGAGGGAAGAUGGUGAAAACCAGGACCCGUUGA
Molecule: ribosomal RNA, 531 nt
Filed under: Triticum aestivum (bread wheat)
Lineage: Eukaryota; Viridiplantae; Streptophyta; Magnoliopsida; Poales; Poaceae
Description: partial small subunit ribosomal RNA
Source: RNAcentral